CGUGGGUAACCUGCCCAAGAGAUCGGGAUAACACCUGGAAACAGAUGCUAAUACCGGAUAACAACAGAUGAUGCCUAUCAACUGUUUAAAAGAUGGUUCUGCUAUCACUCUUGGAUGGACCUGCGGUGCAUUAGCUAGUUGGUAGGGUAACGGCCUACCAAGGCGAUGAUGCAUAGCCGAGUUUAGAGACUGAUCGGCCACAUUGGGACUGAGACACGGCCCAAACUCCUACGGGAGGCAGCAGUC
RNAcentral lists this ribosomal RNA (246 nucleotides) under uncultured Lactobacillus sp. RNAcentral describes it as "partial 16S ribosomal RNA". It matches the Rfam family "Bacterial small subunit ribosomal RNA", at positions 116 to 355 of the family's 1533-position model. Lineage: Bacteria; Bacillati; Bacillota; Bacilli; Lactobacillales; Lactobacillaceae. The record is from RNAcentral.